CCCUUAGAUGUUCUGGGCCGCACGCGCGCUACACUGACGAAUGCAACGAGCUUAUAACCUUGGCCGAAAGGUCUGGGUAAUCUCCAAAUUUCGUCGUGAUGGGGAUAGAUUAUUGCAAUUAUUAAUCUUCAACGAGGAAUGCCUAGUAAGCGCAAGUCAUCAGCUUGCGUUGAUUACGUCCCUGCCCUUUGUACACACCGCCCGUCGCUCCUACCGAUUGAAUGGUCCGGUGAAGCGUUCGGACCGUGGCCUUUGGACGGUUCGCCGUCUGUUGGCUGCGGGAAGUUCGUUAAACAUUAUCAUUUAGAGGAAGGAGAAGUCGUAACA
This 327-nucleotide ribosomal RNA is filed under the name uncultured eukaryote. RNAcentral's name for it is "partial 18S ribosomal RNA". It matches the Rfam family "Eukaryotic small subunit ribosomal RNA", at positions 1470 to 1796 of the family's 1831-position model. The record is from RNAcentral.